RNAcentral lists this ribosomal RNA (245 nucleotides) under uncultured Pseudomonadota bacterium. RNAcentral's name for it is "uncultured proteobacterium partial 16S ribosomal RNA". It matches the Rfam family "Bacterial small subunit ribosomal RNA", at positions 524 to 768 of the family's 1533-position model. Lineage: Bacteria; Pseudomonadati; Pseudomonadota. The record is from RNAcentral.
GACGGAGGGUGCAAGCGUUGUUCGGAUUGACUGGGCGUAAAGGGCGUGUAGGCGGUUCGUUAAGUCGGGUGUGAAAGCCCGGGGCUCAGCUCCGGAAGUGCGCCCGAAACUGGCGAGCUGGAGCGCGGUAGAGGAGGGUGGAAUUCCUGGUGUAGCGGUGAAAUGCGUAGAUAUCAGGAGGAACACCGGCGGCGAAGGCGGCCCUCUGGACCGUUGCUGACGCUGAGACGCGAAAGCGUGGGGAG